RNAcentral lists this ribosomal RNA (220 nucleotides) under uncultured bacterium. RNAcentral's name for it is "partial 16S ribosomal RNA". It matches the Rfam family "Bacterial small subunit ribosomal RNA", at positions 111 to 334 of the family's 1533-position model. The record is from RNAcentral.
UAAUGUAUGGGGAUCUGCCCGAUAGAGGGGAAUAACUACUGGGAACGGUGGCUAAUACCGCAUAAUGUCUACGGACCAAAGCAGGGGCUCUUCGGACCUUGCACUAUCGGAUGAACCCAUAUGGGAUUAGCUAGUAGGUGGGGUAAAGGCUCACCUAGGCGACGAUCUCUAGCUGGUCUGAGAGGAUGAUCAGCCACACUGGGACUGAGACACGGCCCAG